Molecule: ribosomal RNA, 156 nt
Filed under: Brassica napus (rape)
Lineage: Eukaryota; Viridiplantae; Streptophyta; Magnoliopsida; Brassicales; Brassicaceae
Also listed under: 1 other name
Description: rRNA 5_8S_rRNA
Rfam family: 5.8S ribosomal RNA
About the family: 5.8S ribosomal RNA (5.8S rRNA) is a component of the large subunit of the eukaryotic ribosome. It is transcribed by RNA polymerase I as part of the 45S precursor that also contains 18S and 28S rRNA.
Source: Rfam by way of RNAcentral
GACUCUCGGCAACGGAUAUCUCGGCUCUUGCAUCGAUAAAGAACGUAGCAAAAUGCGAUACUUGGUGGGAAUUGCAGAAUCCCGUGAACCAUCGAGUCUUUGAACGCAAGUUGCGCCCCAAGCCUUCUGGCCAAGGGCACGUCUGCCUAGUUGUCA